UAUCAAAGGAGAAGAUAACAAGCUUGGGCAUGGAACUGACUCCGUUGGCAAUAAGCAUCAAGGAGACCAUCGAGAGCUUGAAAGAGAAAGGAUUUGUUACUUUUGAUUCAAGCAACCUGUGAAACAACAGAGCCCCAUGUGAGAACUUGAUUGUCAUAACGAGUAGCAUCCCGGGAACUUUGCACGUAAUUAUUACAAUUGUAGUCUGUACUGCGACUUGAAAUAAAGUGGAGGCAAAUUGCAAUGCCUUGAUUAUUCUGAGGUGUUUCUUGGCGCCUCAUGAGAACAUUUAACAAGUGAAUUGCUUUCCCACCCUACAUUUCUGAUGUUGAAGUUUAGCUUUCGACAGAGAGUGCUCCUUAUAUGUCCUUGAAAUUUGCCUGAUGAUCUCCAGAUUCUUAAGUUUUGCUUCAUCCCAUAUGGUUCUUAAAGUAUUUAUUUUCAUCUUCUACAUGCUUGUUCUGUUAGUUGAUUCUGAGAUGUCAAGUAGAAAUUUUUUGUUUUAGCAAAUCAUCAUAUUACUCUCCUGGAGCUCACCUGGAUGUGAGGGAUUAAAGUUCACCUGUAUCUUGUAAUCUUGAGCUUGCGAGAGGAGGAAGGAAGGAGCUCGCUAAGAAGGCCGGGGUGGUCACCGGUAGUAGUAUAAGUGUGGGCAUAAAUACACGACCUCUAAGAGAGUGAACUAUGCACUCUAUUACUAUUAUUGGUCAUGUAGGAACUUCAACUAUAGAAUUGUAAACGUGGCCUUAUACUUCUGUAAAUAAAUUUUGUGAAUAUUAGAUAAUGUAAUAAUUAUUUUAUUAAAAAUUAUCUUUGCAAUUUUGUGAACUUAAUCUUCUAAUAAUUAUGAAAUUAGUAUAUAAAUUUGGCCUUAUGAGCUCUGAAAUUACCAUCCAAACUUGAAACUCGUAAUUGCAAUGGGUAACAACCUGUAAUUAAUUAUGGGCAAAAGUCACUAUUAACGGGUGGUUUGUUGCUAUUUUGUCAGUUUGUUUAAAUAAUAAUCACAUUAACAUAUGCUAGACAAAUAAUUUCGAAUGCUUGAUUUAUGAUUACAUUUAAAAGAGUUUAUAAUAUCUUAUUUGUACUACUAAAUUGAGUCGUAGCGUUAGCACAUGUAAAUAAUAUAUAUACUAUGUCCUAGACAUUUACGUAUUACUUUCAUGUUUUAAUAUAUAACAUUUUGACUUUUAGACUCAAUAUUUAUCCCUUUAUUUUAUUAAAAUAUAUAUAUUAUAGUUAAAAUAUUUGUAGUGAUAUCAGAACAAAAUAAACGAUGCUUUUAGAAAAGAAAAUUUAAUCAGAGAAAUGAUUAAAUUUCGCAUCAAAAAUCAUUUCGUUAUACAUUUUAAAUAUUAGAGUGGAGUGAGUACGUUUCUCCCUUUAUGCUGGCAUCCACCCCAUUGGUGAGACGCCACUCUGGCGACGGUGCCUAACAAGGUGAAAAGUGCUCAGAUAUAAGUCAAGUGCUCAGAUGUCAUAAAAGAUACCUUUUUCCAGUGAUAAGUGAGUGAUACUUUUGUUUCUUUCUACAGGUGUGCAGAUGACAAGCCAUUAGUUCCAAUCUACCAGGUAUCAAAGGAGAAGAUAACAAGCUUGGGCAUGGAACUGACUCCGUUGGCAAUAAGCAUCAAGGAGACCAUCGUGAGCUUGAAAGAGAAAGGAUUUGUUACUUUUGAUUCAAGCAACCUGUGAAACAACAGAGCCCCAUAUCUGAACUUGAUUGUCAUAACGGGUAGGCAUCGCGGGAACUUUGCACGUAAUUAUUACAACUGUAGUCUUCACUGUGACUUGAAAUAAGUGGAGGCAAAUUGCAAUGCCUUGAUUAUUCUUCGAUGUUUCUAGUAUUAUUAGGGCAUAUAUAAAGAUGUUUAUUAACUGACUUUUUUAAUCACUAUGUAUGUAAAUUUGGUGACAUGCAGAUCUCUGAAAAUUGCCGGUUGUUUAUGUUUAGUUAGUGAUGUUGUUCAGUUAGUGCUGUAGAUGUGCUUGUAUCAACUUUUUUUCAAUUCUUA
Molecule: long non-coding RNA, 2015 nt
Filed under: Oryza brachyantha (malo sina)
Lineage: Eukaryota; Viridiplantae; Streptophyta; Magnoliopsida; Poales; Poaceae
Description: long non-coding RNA (OBRA_LNC000157)
Source: RNAcentral